UACGGAAGGCAGCAGUGGGGAAUAUUGCACAAUGGGCGCAAGCCUGAUGCAGCCAUGCCGCGUGUAUGAAAAAGGCCUUCGGGUUGUAAAGUACUUUCAGUCGUGAGGAAGGUGUUAAGGUUAAUAACCUUAGCAAUUGACGUUAGCGACAGAAGAAGCACCGGCUAACUCCGUGCCAGCAGCCGCGGUAAUACGGAGGGUGCGAGCGUUAAUCGGAAUUACUGGGCGUAAAGGGCACGCAGGCGGUUAAUUAAGUUGGAUGUGAAAUCCCCGGGCUUAACCUGGGAGUGGCAUUCAAGACUGGUUAGCUAGAGUCUUGUAGAGGGGGUAGAAUUCCAUGUGUAGCGGUGAAAUGCGUAGAGAUGUGGAGGAAUACCGGUGGCGAAGGCGGCCCCUGGACAAAGACUGACGCUCAUGUGCGAAAGCGUGGGGAGCAAACAGGGAUUAGAUACC
This 453-nucleotide ribosomal RNA is filed under the name uncultured bacterium. RNAcentral describes it as "bacterial SSU rRNA". It matches the Rfam family "Bacterial small subunit ribosomal RNA", at positions 340 to 786 of the family's 1533-position model. The record is from RNAcentral.